Molecule: transfer RNA, 92 nt
Filed under: Firmicutes bacterium CAG:176_63_11
Lineage: Bacteria; Bacillati; Bacillota
Also listed under: 3 other names
Description: tRNA-Ser
Rfam family: tRNA
About the family: Transfer RNA (tRNA) molecules are approximately 80 nucleotides in length.
Source: RNAcentral
GCGGAAGUACCCAAGUGGCCGAAGGGGCUCCCCUGCUAAGGGAGUAGGCGUCUAAACCACGCGCAAGGGUUCAAAUCCCUUCUUCCGCGCCA